RNAcentral lists this ribosomal RNA (437 nucleotides) under uncultured bacterium. RNAcentral's name for it is "bacterial SSU rRNA". It matches the Rfam family "Bacterial small subunit ribosomal RNA", at positions 29 to 509 of the family's 1533-position model. The record is from RNAcentral.
AGCGAACGCUGGCGGCAGGCUUAACACAUGCAAGUCGAGCGCCCGUAGCAAUACGGGAGCGGCAGACGGGAGAGUAACACGUGGGAACAUACCUUUUGGUUCGGAACAACCCAGGGAAACUUGGGCUAAUACCGGAUAAGCCCUUACGGGGAAAGAUUUAUCGCCGAAAGAUUGGCCCGCGUCUGAUUAGCUAGUUGGUGAGGUAACGGCUCACCAAGGCUACGAUCAGUAGCUGGUCUGAGAGGAUGAUCAGCCUCACUGGGACUGAGACACGGCCCAGACUCCUACGGGAGGCAGCAGUGGGGAAUAUUGGACAAUGGGCGCAAGCCUGAUCCAGCCAUGCCGCGUGAGUGAUGAAGGCCUUAGGGUUGUAAAGCCCUUUCGGCGGGGAAGAUAAUGACGGUACCCGCAGAAGAAGCCCCGGCUAACUUCGUGCC